This 253-nucleotide ribosomal RNA is filed under the name uncultured bacterium. Its description in RNAcentral is "partial 16S ribosomal RNA". It matches the Rfam family "Bacterial small subunit ribosomal RNA", at positions 524 to 776 of the family's 1533-position model. The record is from RNAcentral.
UACGUAGGUGGCGAGCGUUGUCCGGAUUUACUGGGCGUAAAGAGCGCGCAGGCGGUCGUUCAAGUCGCGUGUGAAAGCCCCCGGCUCAACUGGGGAGGGUCACGCGAUACUGAUCGACUCGAAGGCAGGAGAGGGAAGUGGAAUUCCCGGUGUAGUGGUGAAAUGCGUAGAUAUCGGGAGGAACACCAGUGGCGAAGGCGGAUCUCUGGGCCAUUACUGACGCUGAGGAGCGAAAGCGUGGGGAGCGAACAGG